CGGCGGACGGGUGAGUAACACGUGGGUAACCUACCUAUAAGACUGGGACAACUUCGGGAAACCGGAGCUAAUACCGGAUAAGAUAUCGAACCGCAUGGUUCGAUAGUGAAAGAUGGUUUUGCUAUCACUUAUAGAUGGACCCGCGCCGUAUUAGCUAGUCGGUGAGGUAACGGCUCACCAAGGCAACGAUACGUAGCCGACCUGAGAGGGUGAUCGGCCACACUGGAACUGAGACACGGUCCAGACUCCUACGGGAGGCAGCAGUG
RNAcentral lists this ribosomal RNA (266 nucleotides) under uncultured Staphylococcus sp. RNAcentral's name for it is "partial 16S ribosomal RNA". It matches the Rfam family "Bacterial small subunit ribosomal RNA", at positions 96 to 356 of the family's 1533-position model. Lineage: Bacteria; Bacillati; Bacillota; Bacilli; Caryophanales; Staphylococcaceae. The record is from RNAcentral.